Non-coding RNA from Mycena metata, 91 nucleotides. The record is from the annotation of a GenBank genome assembly. Lineage: Eukaryota; Fungi; Basidiomycota; Agaricomycetes; Agaricales; Mycenaceae.
GGCCUAGUAGCACAAUGGUUAGUGCGCGUGCUUAGAUUGCAUGCAUACAACGGAUAAGCGCGAAAUCUUCGUUCGACUCGAGGUUAGGCCA